RNA transcript from Daphnia magna, 4239 nucleotides. RefSeq lists it as uncharacterized. The transcript has 4 exons. The record is from RefSeq and is a predicted model, not a curated record. Lineage: Eukaryota; Metazoa; Arthropoda; Branchiopoda; Diplostraca; Daphniidae.
UAUAUGGUACGCGUACUCGAGAGGGCGAAAGUGGGACAAAAAUUGGAAUCGUCUGUUUUGGCAACUCUGGCCGGGUGUGUAACUAGAGGGCCUACUUUAACGUAGGCUCUUAUGGGACUACCCCUUUUUAAUGGUUAUAUCAAGGUGUUUGAAUUUUUUUUUUCAUUUAAAAAAAUGUGUAUCGUGCGUAGAAUUAAUUUUUAUGCAAAGUCCAUUUUUUGGAAUUUAAUUUAAAAAUGCUUGUAUAAUUAAAAAAAAAUAAAAAUGGUCCAAGAAUUUCUGAAAGUCUUUAACUUUCCACUUCUGCUAGACUGUUCCACAUUAUAUAUUAAAAGCGGAAUUUGUUCUUUGGAAGGGAUUGCCAUGGUGAUUGCACUGCUCAUCUCCUGCUUGUCGAAGUGGUCAAAGUUUGUAAAUCUGUACGUCAUACCAUAGUCAUACCAUUCUGUAAGUUUUUGUUUAGCUUAAAAAAAUAACUUGUUACCGUUUUAAUGCUUUAUGCACCAUGCCUGCAAAAUGUUGCAUUCCUAAUUGCAAGACUGGAUAUAGCAGUAACUCCAAAGAAAAUGCAAUCAAGGAAUGUCUUAUCCUUUUCUCCACUUCAAAUAAAGAGUUGCUUGUUAAAUGGACAAAAGCAGUUCCUCGUCAAGAUUACGUUUUCACAAAGCAUUCUAAGGUAUGUAUUAAACAUUUUGAAGACACUGAUGUUCUGAAGGGAUAUACACACUAUGUUGAUGGCAAGCCAAUUUUUUCACCAUACAAAAGAUUUCGACUAAAACCUAAUGCUGUUCCCUGCAUUUUCCCCAGUAAGUAAGACAUUUACUUUUAUUGCUUACUGUUAUUUCACUAACGAUAUGUUGUUAGACUGCCCUCCCAGACAACACGCCUGGUUUUAUUCCGGGAUAAAAGCUGUCGUCUUAAAACCAUGAUGUAGGCCCCAAAAAAGACGUCUUUAAUCAGUUCCAAACUAGUGGUUUUUAUCCAAAACGUGCGGUCCGAAACGGUUUGAAAAGUACAGCUUUUAUCGGGCCCAAACUGGGCUUUCUUUGUUACUUUUUUGGGUUCCACAACGCAUCUAAAAAGACGGCUUUUAUCGGGCCCGUACGUUUUUAGCCGCAAUAGCUAUGGUCUGAAAUCGAUCUGCAAUCCUUUUUUUUUUUUUUAUUUUAUUUUGCGUGGUUUGAACUCGACUCCAGUAUUUAUAAGCUCAGGACAUAUAUGUAUUUAUAGUCGAAACCGUUCAUGGAGCAGCUCCAUGUUAGUUGCAACGUGUGCGCCAUUGACUAUACAUUGUUCAUGUGAAUGUUUUAGAAAAUUGUUCAUUAUAGUUGUUGCAAUUGGAUUGCAAUGGCCUCAAAUAGUGCAAAUGUCGUUGGUCCUAGACAAAAAAGAAGAAGAGUUCAAGCUGAACUUAACAAUAUUGUCUUAGCUAUAGCGUCUAAUUCUGCCACAAGGCAAAGUGCGUCAACAUACAGAGAAGAAGUUUACGCCGGCAGUUCGGCUGUGAAUAUAGGAGUGGAUCCAUCUGGUGGCGAUUCACCUGAUUAUACCUUAGCCGACGAUACGCAAUCCAACAAGGAUUUUCGGGAAACUCUUAAGGUAACAGAAUUUGAUUACGAAAGCGACGCGGUGCCGGUUUACAGUUCCUGCGACGAAUGCGAAGUUUCAAGUGAUGAUGAUUCCACACCUGGUGAAUAUGACUUACUUUCUGGGGUUACGUUUGACAUUAAUGGGUACGCAGCCGAUGACGCGACACCCAAACAAUUCACGGAAAAACUCGCAUCUUGGGCAGUAAAUUUUCGCGUUAAACAAAAUGCCAUCGAUAAUCUUUUGACGGAAGUGCUGCCUGCUGUUCCAUCAUAUGAAGAACUAAACCUCCCAAAAACUUGUAGGACUCUCCUUAAAACACGAAAAAAAACCACUCUUAAAAUGGUAGAACCUGGCCAUUAUUUUCACUUUGGCCUUGUUCGUGGCAUUACGUUCAUGUUAGGCAGAUACGGUUUCCAUUUGAAGGAAAAUAUGCUGAAAGAGUUCCGUUUUCUUGUAAACACAGACGGGCUUCCAAUUGCAAAGGCUUCCGGCAGCCAAGUUUGGCCCAUUCAGUGCAGGUUUUUUGAUAGUGCUAUGGUAAACUGGCCACCGUUCGUACUUGGAAUUUACCAUGGAAAUCAUAAGCCAAAAUAUGCAAAUGACUACAUGGAAGACUUUGUCAACGAGGUCAUUCAACUUCAGCGUUCCGGAUUUGUCCAUAAUGGAAAUUUAAUAAAAAUCUCGGUCUUCGGAUUCACCUGUGACGCUCCAGCGAAUGCCAUGAUCAAGUGUAUUAAAAGUCAUACAGCCUAUGAAAGUUGCCCGAAAUGUGAAGUACACGGCAAGUGGGCGGGGCGCGUCGUAUUAUUAGAAACAUCAGCUCCUGCUCGAAUCCAUGAAAAUUUUAUUAACAAAACUCAAGACGGCCACCACAAUGGUACGUCAUCAAUUUUAGAAAACUUAGGCAUCGAUAUGAUUACUUCGUUUGCAAUUGAUUACAUGCACUGUGUGUGCCUUGGUGUUGUGCGUAAGCUUUUGUGGCUUUGGAUUCGAGGACCUCUUCGUACUAGAAUCGGCCGUCAAAACAUAGACCGAAUAUCGGCUUUAUUAGUUGGAAUUGCAAAUUUUAUUCCGUGUGAUUUCGCGAGAAAGCCACGAUCCUUGAAUGAAUUACCGCGCUGGAAAGCAACCGAGCUGCGUCAAUUUCUUUUGUAUACUGGGCCAGCCGUAUUGAAGGAAAUUUUCAAAGGGAAACCUCUUCAAGAUUUUUAUGACAAUUUUAUGUUGCUUCACACUGGGAUAAAAAUUCUAUCUUUGCCUCAUCUGUGUCAGGAUCCCGUGUUGAAUAACUACGCCAAAGAGCUGUUGAUCGCGUUUGUUCAACACUGUAAAAUAAUUUACGGCGAAUGGUUCAUUUCAUAUAGCGUACAUUGCCUCAUUCAUUUGGCGGAUGACGUCAUAAAAUUUGGCCAUUUGGACAAUUUCAGCACAUUUCCAUUCGAAAACAACAUGAAGAAAAUAAAAGCUAUGAUUCGGAAAAAUGAGCGGCCUUUAAUUCAGAUUGUACGACGCAUCUUCGAAGAAGAAACAAAUGUCACUUCUUCAUGCCAAACAAGCACGGAAAAAACAGUCUUAAAAAAGAAACACACAGGAGGACCAAUUUUGAGCACAGGAGGAAGAUAAUUCAAAGUUCUUCAUUACAAUUCAAUGAUUUUGAAGUGCGAUGACGUGAACAGCUACGUUAUUCUUCAAGAUGAAACGGUUGUAAAGAUUUCAAAUAUCAUUGAGCGCAAUAACAAUGUAACAAUUAUUGGGCAGAAAUUUUACAAUAGAGGAAAAAGUGACGUAUUUUCCACACCGUUACAAUCUUCAAAACUUGGAAUUUAUUCAAUGGAAAAUUCUAGUUUAUCUUGCCAAAAUGGCUGGCCGAUUUCCGCGAUUAAAUGUAAAGCGGUUUGUUUUCCUUAUUCAGCAAAAAACGAAAAAGCAGUUUUUCCGCUAAUGCGCAAGGAAAACUAAUUGUUUAAAUCUGGCAAGUGGCAAGACUACGAAGAAGAAGAGGAGGGGUUAAAGGAAUUGUCACGGCAGAGAGCAGACAAAAAAAUGUAUAUAGUUCAUCAUGUUCUGAAAAUUUUCGUCCUAUUUUCCAUUGUCCCCAUCAUCAGUUGAUUAAAAUUGUACAUUCAUUAUUCGUCGUUGAGUCUAGGCAUCAUCGUGAAGCAAUAACGGUACCCUUUCUUUGAGGUGAUCCACCUUGUGUAAGAAGUAAUAGUGGAAGAAAUGGGAAAGAAAAAGCCACAGCAGAUAGCAGAGAUAAGAAUGCAAACAGUUAAUCUUUUAAAAAGUUUUGCCCCAUCAACAUCACUUGAUGAAAGUUAUGCAUCAGCUAUUCGUCAUCAAGCCUAUUCAUCAUCCUAACAUUCUUUACGGUACACUAUUAACACAGUCAUCGUUGAUGUUGUGGUGGAUUCGUUUCUUAGCAGACCCUUGUGUCCACAUCAGAACGAUGGUGUUGUUUUCUUGUGCGAAUGCCUGCCUAAUGGGUUUCAAAACACCACAUAUGUAUGGUACUAUUGUAGCUGAUGAAAUGGGGUUGGGCAAAACGCUGCGAUGCAUUACAGUUAUAUGGUUAGUGGUGCAAAAGCCAAAAAAAGAAAAAAACUCGUUCGUGACCCCACCGCUAACUUUGCUUCUUCGAGAAAGCCAAAA